CCUACGGGAGGCAGCAGUGGGGAAUUUUCCGCAAUGGGCGCAAGCCUGACGGAGCAACGCCGCGUGAGCGAAGAAGGCCUUCGGGUUGUAAAGCUCUGUCUGGGGGGACGAAGACCUGACGGUACCCCCGAAGGAAGCCCCGGCUAACUACGUGCCAGCAGCCGCGGUAAU
This 171-nucleotide ribosomal RNA is filed under the name uncultured bacterium. Its description in RNAcentral is "partial 16S ribosomal RNA". It matches the Rfam family "Bacterial small subunit ribosomal RNA", at positions 338 to 524 of the family's 1533-position model. The record is from RNAcentral.